GCUUUCGUAGCUCAGUUGGUUAGAGCAACCGUUUUGUAAGCAGGAGGUCUUGAGUUCAACUCUCCAUGAAAGCA
This 74-nucleotide transfer RNA is filed under the name Dichanthelium oligosanthes. It matches the Rfam family "tRNA". From Rfam's summary of the family: Transfer RNA (tRNA) molecules are approximately 80 nucleotides in length. Their secondary structure includes four short double-helical elements and three loops (D, anti-codon, and T loops). Further hydrogen bonds mediate the characteristic L-shaped molecular structure. tRNAs have two regions of fundamental functional importance: the anti-codon, which is responsible for specific mRNA codon recognition, and the 3' end, to which the tRNAs corresponding amino acid is attached (by aminoacyl-tRNA synthetases). tRNAs cope with the degeneracy of the genetic code in two manners: having more than one tRNA (with a specific anti-codon) for a particular amino acid; and 'wobble' base-pairing, i.e. permitting non-standard base-pairing at the 3rd anti-codon position. The record is from Rfam by way of RNAcentral. Lineage: Eukaryota; Viridiplantae; Streptophyta; Magnoliopsida; Poales; Poaceae.